AGAGGGUGCGAGCGUUGUCCGGAAUCACUGGGCGUAAAGGGCGCGUAGGCGGCCUGCUAAGUAGAGGGUGAAAUCCUGCGGCUCAACCGCAGGGCUGCCUUCUAAACUGUCAGGCUGGAGCACGGUAGAGGCAGAUGGAAUUCCCGGUGUAGCGGUGGAAUGCGUAGAGAUCGGGAAGAACACCAGUGGCGAAGGCGGUCUGCUGGGCCGUUGCUGACGCUGAGGCGCGACAGCGUGGGGAGCAAACAGGAUUAGAUACCCUGGUAGUCCACGCCGUAAACGAUGGGUACUAGGCGUCGGGGGGAGCGACCCUCCCGGUGCCGUCGCUAACGCAGUAAGUACCCCGCCUGGGGAGUACGGCCGCAAGGCUG
Molecule: ribosomal RNA, 371 nt
Filed under: uncultured bacterium
Lineage: Bacteria
Description: bacterial SSU rRNA
Rfam family: Bacterial small subunit ribosomal RNA
Source: RNAcentral